AUGGCUAUGGCGACCACCUCCUUGUUGUUCCAUGCCUUCUCCACCACGCUGUCCGCCCACUUCAUGUCUGUCAGCUGCUCCAGCCCCCCUGCCACGCGCUCUUUCCAGCCGCUGCAUGCCGUGGCCUUCUUCUCCAGCACCGCUUUGGCUUCCACGGCAGCGGCCGCAGCUUUGGCUUUCCCUUCCUCGGUGCCCCGUAUCACUCCCGCUGCCAGAGGACGUGAGGCUACAUUCAUGGACUCAUGUGUGAGGAAAGGUUUAGGGAUGUUUGUGCGGGAGGCUAAAUGGAUCUGGUGGGAAGCUAUAGCUAUGGAGGUGAAGAAAGGAAGAAAGAAUGCUUGCUAUGUAUGGUAA
Molecule: ribosomal RNA, 354 nt
Filed under: Triticum aestivum (bread wheat)
Lineage: Eukaryota; Viridiplantae; Streptophyta; Magnoliopsida; Poales; Poaceae
Description: partial small subunit ribosomal RNA
Source: RNAcentral